GCUAUCGCAUUGGGAUGAGUUUGCGUACCAUUAGCUAGUUGGUGGGGUAAGAGCCCACCAAGGCGACGAUGGUUAGCGGGUCUGAGAGGAUGAUCCGCCACACUGGCACUGGAACACGGGCCAGACUCCUACGGGAGGCAGCAGUGAGGAAUAUUGCGCAAUGGGGGCAACCCUGACGCAGCGACGCCGCGUGAGUGAGGAAGGCCUUCGGGUCGUAAAGCUCUGUCAGCAGGGAAGAAGUGCAACAUGGCUAAUAUCUGUGUUGUUUGACGGUACCUGCAAAGGAAGCACCGGCUAACUCCGUGCCAGCAGCCGCGNUAAUACGGAGGNUGCGAGCGUUGUUCGGAAUCACUGGGCGUAAAGGGCGCGCAGGCGGUCUUAUAAGUCAGAUGUGAAAGCCCACGGCUUAACCGUGGAAGAGCAUUUGAAACUGCAAGACUUGAGUACCCAGAGGGGNAAAGUGGAAUUCCCGGUGUAGAGGUGAAAUUCCGUAGAUAUCNGGGAGGAAUACC
This 512-nucleotide ribosomal RNA is filed under the name uncultured delta proteobacterium. RNAcentral describes it as "bacterial SSU rRNA". It matches the Rfam family "Bacterial small subunit ribosomal RNA", at positions 211 to 710 of the family's 1533-position model. The record is from RNAcentral. Lineage: Bacteria; Deltaproteobacteria.